Molecule: ribosomal RNA, 465 nt
Filed under: uncultured bacterium
Lineage: Bacteria
Description: bacterial SSU rRNA
Rfam family: Bacterial small subunit ribosomal RNA
Source: RNAcentral
GGGCCCGCACAAGCGGAGGAACAUGUGGUUUAAUUCGAUGAUACGCGAGGAACCUUACCCGGGCUUAAAUGAGAGAGGACAGCUGCCGAAAGGUGGUUUUCCGCAAGGACUUCUUUCAAGGUGCUGCAUGGUUGUCGUCAGCUCGUGCCGUGAGGUGUCGGUUUAAGUACCAUAACGAGCGCAACCCUCAUUGUUAGUUGCCAGCGGGUAAUGCCGGGGACUCUAACGAAACUGCCAGAGUAAUCUGGAGGAAGGUGGGGAUGAGGUCAAAUCAGCACGGCCCUUACGUCCGGGGCUACACACGUGUUACAAUGGCCGGUACAGAGGGCAGCUACUUCGCGAGAAGAUGCUAAUCUCUAAAAACCGGUCUCAGUUCGGAUCGAAGUCUGCAACUCGACUUCGUGAAGUUGGAUUCGCUAGUAAUCGCGCAUCAGCUACGGCGCGGUGAAUACGUUCCCGGGCCUU